Molecule: non-coding RNA, 56 nt
Organism: Ovis aries (sheep)
Lineage: Eukaryota; Metazoa; Chordata; Mammalia; Artiodactyla; Bovidae
Source: Rfam
UGGCUCAGAGGUUAAAGCGUCUGCCUACAAUGCAGGAGACCUGGGUUCGAUCCCUG